UACGUAGGGGGCGAGCGUUGUCCGGAGUUACUGGGCGUAAAGGGCAUGCAGGCGGUCAGGCGCGUUUUGUGUGACAGCGGAUGGCUUAACUGUCCGAGGAUACGAAAGACGGCGUGACUUGAGAGCGCGAGAGGGACACGGAAUUCCGGGUGGAGUGGUGAAAUGCGUAGAGAUCCGGAGGAACACCGAAGGCGAAGGCAGUGUCCUGGCGCGUAUCUGACGCUGAGGUGCGAAAGCCAGGGGAGCGAACGGG
RNAcentral lists this ribosomal RNA (253 nucleotides) under uncultured Ktedonobacter sp. Its description in RNAcentral is "partial 16S ribosomal RNA". It matches the Rfam family "Bacterial small subunit ribosomal RNA", at positions 524 to 776 of the family's 1533-position model. The record is from RNAcentral. Lineage: Bacteria; Bacillati; Chloroflexota; Ktedonobacteria; Ktedonobacterales; Ktedonobacteraceae.